RNAcentral lists this ribosomal RNA (252 nucleotides) under uncultured bacterium. RNAcentral's name for it is "partial 16S ribosomal RNA". It matches the Rfam family "Bacterial small subunit ribosomal RNA", at positions 57 to 305 of the family's 1533-position model. The record is from RNAcentral.
GCAAGUCGAGGGGUAACAGGAAGUGCUUGCACUUUGCUGACGACCGGCGCAUGGGUGCGUAACGCGUAUACAAUCUACCUUCUACUAGGGGAUAGCCCAGAGAAAUUUGGAUUAACACCCAAUAGUAUCAUAUUACAGCAUCGUAUUUAUGAUUAAAGGUUACGGUACAAGAUGAGUAUGCGUCCUAUUAGUUAGUUGGUGUGGUAACGGCACACCAAGACUACGAUAGGUAGGGGGCCUGAGAGGAUGAUC